UUGUUUUAUUAUUUCUCACAUAUCGUAAUUUUCGUUCGCCUUUUACUAAAGAAAGCCGUGAGGAGGGGCCGCUAUGAGCCGUAUAAAACUUUUCGUCUCCUUGUUUAAAAU
This is a small nuclear RNA of Paramacrobiotus metropolitanus, 111 nucleotides long. RefSeq annotates it as U5 spliceosomal RNA. The transcript has a single exon. Lineage: Eukaryota; Metazoa; Tardigrada; Eutardigrada; Parachela; Macrobiotidae. The record is from RefSeq and is a predicted model, not a curated record.